UACGGAGGAUCCAAGCGUUAUCCGGAUUCAUUGGGUUUAAAGGGUGCGUAGGCGGAAUGAUAAGUCAGUGGUGAAAGCCUACAGCUUAACUGUAGAACUGCCGUUGAUACUGUCAAUCUUGAGUGCAGUUGAUGUGGGCGGAAUAUGACAUGUAGCGGUGAAAUGCUUAGAUAUGUCAUAGAACACCGAUUGCGAAGGCAGCUCACAAAACUGUAACUGACGCUGAGGCACGAAAGCGUGGGGAUCGAACAGG
This 253-nucleotide ribosomal RNA is filed under the name uncultured bacterium. Its description in RNAcentral is "partial 16S ribosomal RNA". It matches the Rfam family "Bacterial small subunit ribosomal RNA", at positions 524 to 776 of the family's 1533-position model. The record is from RNAcentral.